Homo sapiens (human) is the source of this 864-nucleotide non-coding RNA. NCBI's taxonomy places the organism in Eukaryota, Metazoa, Chordata, Mammalia, Primates, Hominidae. The record is from RefSeq and is a predicted model, not a curated record.
GUCAGCCCCAUGCCUAACACACAGUAAGUCUCAGGUGCGGUAGUGGAGAAGAGGAUGGGCUCUAGAGCCAAGAAUGGGUUUGGAUCCUGGCUCUGCCACUUACAAGUUGUAUAACCCUGGCGUCAGUUUUGCCCUUUGAUGUAAGUCAUCGUCUCUGGACAUGAGAACGGGAGGCCUCACUUCCACAUCCUCCUCCAAAUGAAUGCACUCUAAACAAACAUUGAUGCGCCUCUCAAGGUUGGCAUUGCAUCUGGACCAGUGCCAGGAAGCCACAAGGCCACCAGAGGCAGAGGGGAAGAGCAAGGGCGGAAGAAUAGAAGUCAAGCAGCAGCAGAUGGAAUGUGUGCACGGUCAGGUGGAGGCAAGCUGCUCCUGACUGGUGCAAGAACUGACUGUGUGUGUACUUUGCUUCUCAGUGCUGUGCACAGACACGUGCAGCAAGAACCAUCUCAGAGGGUCACAAGCCCCCUAGAUUUUACCCACAGAAGAUGGUAGAAAAAAGAACCUGUGAUGAAUGAAGAAAGCUGGGGAAAAUGAGGGAAGGCAGGAGGAACCUGCCAGAAACAGGCCAAGUCCCACCAACAUGGAAAUCAGAUCACAAAUGAUUUAGCUGUAAAACAGGUAUCCCAAGUUAUGCCAUGUAAUUCCCAAUUCCAUUCUUUCCUUUCCUUCUCCCUUUCCCUCUUAAGUAUCUGUGGAUAGAAACAGGAUGUUAUGUUUUACUUUCUCCUGCAAUGUAGGAAGAUAUUUAUUCUCUAGUUCAUAUCCAAUUAUUUGCAGGCCAGAAAUUCUUUCUCUAAUAAUAUUAAAAUAUGUACCUGUUCCAAAGACACUGCAAUUAAUAAAGUUGUUUCCCUCAACCCA